AAAGCGAGCGAGGCAAUCGCCGGCGUAGUUUCGAAAGGACGCGCGGGAGGAAAGUCCGAGCUCCAUAGGGCAGGGUGCUGGGUAAUCCCCAGUGAGAGUGAUCUCAAGGAAAGUGCCACAGACAUGAAGACCGCCGAUGGAUAGCAACAAAGCUUUCACAGGCAAGGAUGCAACGGUGCGGUAAGAGCGCACCAGCGGUGCGAUGACGCAUCGGCUAGGUAAACCCCACCUGGAGCAAGACCGCAUAGGAGUGCUAC
This 257-nucleotide RNase P RNA is filed under the name Bacilli bacterium. Its description in RNAcentral is "partial RNase P RNA component class A". It matches the Rfam family "Bacterial RNase P class A", at positions 1 to 244 of the family's 367-position model. From Rfam's summary of the family: Ribonuclease P (RNase P) is a ubiquitous endoribonuclease, found in archaea, bacteria and eukarya as well as chloroplasts and mitochondria. Lineage: Bacteria; Bacillati; Bacillota; Bacilli. The record is from RNAcentral.